Fukomys damarensis (Damara mole-rat) is the source of this 2112-nucleotide long non-coding RNA. RefSeq lists it as uncharacterized. Lineage: Eukaryota; Metazoa; Chordata; Mammalia; Rodentia; Bathyergidae. The transcript has 3 exons. The record is from RefSeq and is a predicted model, not a curated record.
CCAGUUUGAAGCCGCUGCGUCAGUGACACUGGGAGUCCAGGCUCGAGCUUGCAAUAAACUCCUCAUGUAUUUACAUCAGAAGAGUUUCCUGGUGGUCUUCUUGGGAAUUUCAUGACUCGGGUACAACAUUUGGGGGCUCGUCCGGGAUCUCCAAUUGACCUAGGACUCUCUCUCUGGAGGAGCCCAGCCGGCAACAAGUGCACAUAUCCAAAGCAUCCAGGAAGGAGCUGUGUCAUCAGAUAAGUGGAACCCUCCAGUGUCCCUUGAUAGAAGAGCUUACCUCUCCCUGAGGAUCGGGACUUCUCAUCCAUCUGUGCUUACGGUUUUAGGAACACAAAACAAACCUCCUGCAGGUGGAUCACUGGACAUGAUGGGAUGGAGCUGUGGACACAUAAGAUAAUCAGCAGGGGCAGCAGCAAGAUUGGCCUUACCAAGUAGGAGCUGUGCUGUCGGGCCAAGGCAGAGCUUCCGUCACUAUCACCGGGAUGUCUGCAUUCAUGGGCCCAUUGCUCAAGAUCCAGAGUGCCUGAGGACAGAGGCCAGCUAACACUCUCAGAAAAGUCUCCCAUCCAGCAGGCUGUGCCGUGCUCCCUCCAAUGUGGAUGCUUCCAAGUGAGCAUCGAUGUGAGGCACAGACAGCUUCACACCCAGUGUCCAUUGCUUACAACCAAAUGUGCCGCUGUUUCCCCAGUAGGAGGAUUUCUCUUCUGUACUGCCUGGGCUCCUAGUGUGGGAGCAGCUUCUUUUCAGCUCACAGCAACCUACAAAUGAGCCUGCCCAUAUGUGAACCAGGCCUGGAUGUUUUCUUCUUCUAUCAUCUGGUCAUAGGGAAGCCCCAUGAGGACACAGAAUGAACUCCAGGAAAGACAUUCGUGCCACAGAUUAUGUGAUGGGCCUCCGAGCCACUUGCUUGUGUAACUUAAUUAUACUGCAGGCCUUGAUGUACCAUUUCCAUCUUGUGAUGAAUUACUAGUGUGCCUUCCUGACCUUCUCAUGAGAUGAUGGCUCUAAUAAUACCUAGCUCAUGACAGGCAGCUUCCACAUCCUAAUUACUUGGCAUCCAUCCAUGGUGAGUUUCUGCAAGGGCCCAUUAGUAUGUCCGAAACUGCUCUUCCAGUGCAUGCUUCUGCAAAGUAGCAGCAUGGUCUGUGUAAUGCACCUCUCAUUAGGCUUGCCAGAGGUUCCACCCAGCAUUCUGAGCUCCAUGGCUACCUCUAACACUGUAGCUUGCCCUGUAAUAUGGUCCUAGUGUAGAGUCCUCUCUUCCUCUGAGUCUCAUUUGGAAAUGUUAGAUCUCCAGCUACUUGGUAAGUGCAUUGGGAUAGUAUUCUCAAUGUGGCAUACACUGUCUCCAAAAUCCAAAUAACCCAGUUACUAUGUGUAUCUUGCUUAAUGAUAAGGUGCAAUAAUUUGUUCUUCACCUCAGAAGAGAUGUCCCAGCAUGUCGCAGACAGACCUAGAUCCCCUAAAACCUUCACCUGUGUAGCAAGAUUCUAAAUCUUUGUAGUGUUUACCUCCCUUCCUCAGACACACAUGUGUCUUAUUAGAACAUUCAAAGUAAUGCCAUUUUCCUGUUAUCGGGUCCAAUUGCCAUAUCAUCAAUACAUCAGACCAGAGAGAUCUUCUGCAGAAAGUCAAAAUGACCAAUGUCUUAGAAGACUACAUUAUAACAGAGAACGGGACAGUUACCAUGGUCUUAGGCACAACCAUGAAUGUUACGUUUCUUCCUGGCUAUAUGUGAAGGUCUUUCAGUUCUCCUUACUAGCAGAGAUUGAAAAGAAUACAUAGACGGAGUUGAAGCCAAGUGCCAGAGGCUGUGCCCAUCUAUUCCAAUAAAAAGAUUUCAUCCAGCAAAAGAGCUGCACUUGAGGCUGCCCCUUGCAUCCUGUGGUUACCUUGUCCAGCAUGUUCCAAAUGGUUUUUACAGACAUGAAUACAUGUGAAUUAAAUGGGAGAUACAAUGGGAACUGCCUUCCCUAUAGUCUUUAUGUUUUUAAGGGUGUCAUGAAUCUCCGAGCCUCUAAAAAUUCCAACAUACGGAUUCAGAAAGUAAAUGAAUGGGUUGUAAGCUACUGUUUUGGGUCUUGUUGUCAUGUGUGGGAAGCCAGCCAU